UACGGAGGGGGCUAGCGUUUGUUCGGGAAUUACUGGGCGUAAAGCGCACGUAGGCGGCUUUGAUAAGUUAGAGGUGAAAGCCCAGGGCUCAACCCCUGGAAUUGCCUUUAAGACUGCAUCGCUAGAAUUGUGGAGAGGUAAGUGGGAAUUCCGAGUGUAGAGGUGAAAUUCGUAGAUAUUCGGAAGAACACCAGUGGCGAAGGCGGACUUACUGGACACAUAUUGACGC
This 229-nucleotide ribosomal RNA is filed under the name uncultured bacterium. RNAcentral's name for it is "partial 16S ribosomal RNA". It matches the Rfam family "Bacterial small subunit ribosomal RNA", at positions 524 to 746 of the family's 1533-position model. The record is from RNAcentral.